AGGAUAUAUCAAAAGAGACUUUCUGGGGCUGUGAAACCAGGGGCUCAUAAAGCUAUGACCUAAGAUUGAAGUUUGUAUAGGAUGCCGUAGUCACUCAGUAGUGCUGUUUUCCUGAGAAAAUAAAAGA
This 127-nucleotide small nucleolar RNA is filed under the name Aotus nancymaae (Ma's night monkey). RNAcentral's name for it is "Small nucleolar RNA SNORA25 (ENSANAG00000008737.1)". The record is from RNAcentral. Lineage: Eukaryota; Metazoa; Chordata; Mammalia; Primates; Aotidae.